GAUGAAGAACGUAGCGAAAUGCGAUACGUAAUGUGAAUUGCAGAAUUCAGUGAAUCAUCGAAUCUUUGAACGCAUAUUGCGCUCUCUGGUAUUCCGGAGAGCAUGCUUGUUUGAGUAUCAGUAAACACCUCAACUUCCAUAUCUUUUUUGAAAUGGGAGUUGGACUUGAGUGAUCCCAACGCUUUUCCUCACCGAAAAGUGGCGGGUUACUUGAAAUGCAGGUGCAGCUGGACUUUUCUCUGAGCUAUAAGCAUAUCUAUUUAGUCUGCCUAAAAAACAGAUUAUUACCUUUGCUGCAGCUAACAUAAAGGAGAUUAGUUCUUGUGCUGACUGAUGCAGGAUUCACAAAGACAGCUUCGGCCGACUUUGUAAACUCGAUCUCAAAUAAAGUAAGACUACCCGCUGAACUUAAGCAUAUCAAUAAGCGGAGGA
RNAcentral lists this unclassified non-coding RNA (432 nucleotides) under soil metagenome. RNAcentral's name for it is "partial contains 5.8S ribosomal RNA, internal transcribed spacer 2, and large subunit ribosomal RNA". The stretch from base 1 to 120 matches the Rfam family "5.8S ribosomal RNA", at positions 35 to 154 of the family's 154-position model. The record is from RNAcentral.